CGACAAGCAAUAUGAAGGUCAGGCUGAAGACCUUACCCGAUUAGCUGAGAGGUGGUGCAUGGCCGUCGUCAGUUCGUACUGUGAAGCAUCCUGUUAAGUCAGGCAACGAGCGAGACCCACGUCCACAGUUGCCAGCAUACCCUCCGGGGUGAUGGGUACACUGUGGAGACCGCCGCUGCUAAAGCGGAGGAAGGAGUGGGCAACGGUAGGUCAGUAUGCCCCGAAUCUCCCGGGCUACACGCGGGCUACAAUGGUUGGUACAAUGGGCAUCUACCCCGAAAGGGGAAGGAAAUCUCUUAAAGCCAAUCGUAGUUCGGAUUGAGGGCUGCAACUCGCCCUCAUGAAGCUGGAAUCCGUAGUAAUCGCGUUUCAACAGAACGCGGUGAAUACGUCCCUGCUCCUU
Molecule: ribosomal RNA, 403 nt
Filed under: uncultured Methanosaeta sp.
Lineage: Archaea; Methanobacteriati; Methanobacteriota; Methanomicrobia; Methanotrichales; Methanotrichaceae
Description: bacterial SSU rRNA
Rfam family: Archaeal small subunit ribosomal RNA
Source: RNAcentral